Long non-coding RNA from Prunus persica (peach), 982 nucleotides. RefSeq lists it as uncharacterized. The record is from RefSeq and is a predicted model, not a curated record. The transcript has 3 exons. NCBI's taxonomy places the organism in Eukaryota, Viridiplantae, Streptophyta, Magnoliopsida, Rosales, Rosaceae.
CAAUAUAACCUGGUCUAGCUGCUGCAUCUGUCAUUUGAAAAAAAAUAUUGGAUUCCCUUCUCCUAGCCCGAGCCCAGAAGGCUCUCUUCUGUCCAUUCCCAGCUCAGACUGUAAAUCACAAAAGACACUUUUUUUUUAUUUCACUCAGUUUCAACCCAUCCAUCUCCACCCUCUCCCCUUGUCAUCUAUAGCAAGAACUCAAGAGCCUUGGCUAUCUUUCAGAGCAGAGUCGUGUGGGUUCAUCUGUGUGAGGGUGCCAAAUCCAGAAAACCCUCAACAAAAUCAAAAUCACCAUCCGCUGCGGCUUCGUCGAAGAGACAAUCGGAUGCUCACCGAGAUCCGUCCCAACUUUGACCCCAACGACUCAGAUGAGCUGACCCAGACGGAGUUCAACCCCAACACCACAUACACUCGUAGUUCCUGAGCUUGGUUAAUGACUUCGUUGCCUUGUUCUGAGAUACUCAUCCCCGUCUGUUGGUGGAUUUCAGCAAGCAAGUCAAUCUUCAAGUUGGGAGCAGGAUACACAAUGCAAUUGGGAACAUCAGUGGCACGGGCUUCCAAUGACUCCCUGAGUGGUCUACCUGCCGCAGGUAAUUCUAACGCCAUGUUACUCUCGUUUGCAAACAAAUUCUGCAAAAAAGUGCCCUGCAGUGAACAGUCCCAAGCCCAAAUAACUUCUCUUCGCUGUCUAUGCAGUGUGCGCUCUGGUUCUGGAUCAAAUUGUACAAUCUGUGCAGUUCCUGAUCUGGUCUGGACCAUGCAGUCUGCAAAAUCUGCAACAGAAACAAAAUUGUUCAAUUUCAAUUUUGUAUUUUAUUUUUUAUUUUGGACGAAAAUUAAAAAGUAAAAUAAAAUAAAAUAAAAUAAAUCAGAAAAAGGUUAAACAAAAAUUGUCUAAAAUAGUCCCCGGCAGCGGCGCCAAUUUCUUGAUAGGAUUUUUAGUACUUGUGCAAACAGUGUUAAAAAUCACAUAAAAUAAUUU